This 168-nucleotide microRNA precursor is filed under the name Pelobates cultripes (western spadefoot toad). Lineage: Eukaryota; Metazoa; Chordata; Amphibia; Anura; Pelobatidae. The record is from RNAcentral.
GCAGACACAUUCCAGCCAAUCAGCAGCAGACCCUCCCUCCCAGACCCUCUCACCCCCUGCACAGCAUCCAUUUUACAUUCAUUGUGAAGCUGCAUUCUUAGUGAGCUGUCCAGGAGGUGGGAGGGUCUGGGAGGGAGGGUCUGCUGCUGAUUGGCUGGAAUGUGUCUG